AAAGGAAUAGACGGGGGCCCGCACAAGCAGCGGAGCAUGUGGUUUAAUUCGAAGCAACGCGAAGAACCUUACCAGAGCUUGACAUCUCCUGCAUAAUCCGUAAUGGGAUGAAAUCCUUCGGGACAGGAAGACAGGUGGUGCAUGGUUGUCGUCAGCUCGUGUCGUGAGAUGUUGGGUUAAGUCCCGCAACGAGCGCAACCCCUAUACUUAGUUGCUAGCAUUAAGAUGAGCACUCUAAGUAGACUGCCGGAGACAAUUCGGAGGAAGGUGGGGAUGACGUCAAAUCAUCAUGCCCCUUAUGUUCUGGGCGACACACGUGCUACAAUGGGUAAAACAACGGGAAGCAAGAUAGUGAUAUUAAGCAAAUCCCUAAAAGGUACUCUCAGUUCGGAUUGUAGGCUGCAACUCGCCUACAUGAAGUCGGAGUUGCUAGUAAUCGCGAAUCAGCAUGUCGCGGUGAAUACGUUCCCGGGCCUUGCACACACCGCCCGU
RNAcentral lists this ribosomal RNA (492 nucleotides) under uncultured bacterium. RNAcentral's name for it is "bacterial SSU rRNA". It matches the Rfam family "Bacterial small subunit ribosomal RNA", at positions 903 to 1397 of the family's 1533-position model. The record is from RNAcentral.